AAGGACUCCCUUUUACCGACCGGGGAGCGGAGGCGCGCGGAGGUGAAGUGUCUAGCCCAGACAGGAGGCUGGUCAGAACUCAGAGUCUCGGCUCAGGACUUCCCUGGUGGUCCAGUGUUUAUAAGAAUCUGCCUUCCAAUGCAGGGAGAAUGAUCGCAACUCUACCCAUGGUGGGUGCAGAUGUCAAAGGAGGCUUCCUGGAGGAGGUGACACACCCGAGCAAGACUUGAAAGAUAAAUGAGGUGAG
Molecule: long non-coding RNA, 247 nt
Organism: Dama dama (fallow deer)
Lineage: Eukaryota; Metazoa; Chordata; Mammalia; Artiodactyla; Cervidae
Exons: 3
Source: RefSeq, a predicted model, not a curated record